RNAcentral lists this ribosomal RNA (289 nucleotides) under uncultured bacterium. Its description in RNAcentral is "partial 16S ribosomal RNA". It matches the Rfam family "Bacterial small subunit ribosomal RNA", at positions 773 to 1060 of the family's 1533-position model. The record is from RNAcentral.
GUGGAUUAGAUACCCUGGUAGUCCACGCCGUAAACGAUGUCGACUAGCCGUUGGGGACCUUCGUGUCCUUGGUGGCGUAGCUAACGCGCUAAGUCGACCGCCUGGGGAGUACGGUCGCAAGAUUAAAACUCAAAUGAAUUGACGGGGGCCCGCACAAGCGGUGGAGCAUGUGGUUUAAUUCGACGCAACGCGAAGAACCUUACCAGGUCUUGACAUCCAGAGAACUUUCCAGAGAUGGAUUGGUGCCUUCGGGAACUCUGAGACAGGUGCUGCACGGCCGUCGUCAGCU